AAUUUAGAAGUUUAAAUAUAUUGACAGAAUUAAAAUAAAUUUUAUAAGCUUAAAUAUUUUGGCUGAUUGAAUUUUUAAUAUUAGAGUUUAGAAUUAUGUUGUGUAAUAAAUAUAAAAGUAUUCUUCAAAAAUCGGUCAUAACAUCAACUUUUAAAAGUAUUCUUCAAAAGUUUAUGUUAUAACCGACCGUCCUUAAAGUAAACGGCAAAGGGCUUGGUGAUUGAUAUCCGACACCCAAAUCUAAAUCCCAGUUGGUUCACAUUUCUAGCUAAGUUUAUUUCAAAAUGAAAUAAACGAAGCGGGUAGCGUGUUAUCUAUUUUUUUUAAAAAAAAAGUUUAUGUUAUGAGAACGAGUAUUUUU
RNAcentral lists this long non-coding RNA (361 nucleotides) under Ananas comosus (pineapple). RNAcentral describes it as "long non-coding RNA (ACOM_LNC008266)". The record is from RNAcentral. Lineage: Eukaryota; Viridiplantae; Streptophyta; Magnoliopsida; Poales; Bromeliaceae.